UAUGUGAUCGUCUCUCGCAUAUCAAUAAGCGGAGGAAAAGAAACUAACAAGGAUUCCCCUAGUAACGGCGAGUGAAGCGGGAAGAGCUCAAAUUUGAAAUCUUAAAGGGUUUCCCUUUACGGAAUUGUAGUUUAAAGAAGUGUUUUCUGUUGAGGUUUUGGUAAAAGUUCUUUGGAAUAGGACAUCAUAGAGGGUGAGAAUCCCGUAUUUGACCUUUACUUUCAACUUUGUGAUACACUCUCAAAGAGUCGGAUUGUUUGGGAAUGCAGUCCAAAAUGGGUGGUAAAUUUCAUCUAAAGCUAAAUAUUGGCGAGAGACCGAUAGCGAACAAGUACCGUGAGGGAAAGAUGAAAAGAACUUUGAAAAGAGAGUUAAACAGUACGUGAAAUUGUCAAAAGGGAAGCGUUUGACACCAGUGUUGUUUUCUCUGAAAAUCAAUUAAAGAACUGUUUAUGCUAAGCUGUUUAGACUUUAUCAGCUAUCUGUUUAGUUUUGAGCUUUUCUUUAAUGCACUUUUCAGUUAACAAGUCAACAUCAAUUUCUUUUGCUGUAAAAAAGCUUGAGGAAGGUGGCUUGAGAUUCGUCUUAAGUGUUUAUAGCCUCUUGCCUAUGCAGUCGGAGAGAUUGAGGUCUGCAGCGUAGAUCCUUCGGGGCUAAAUGCAUUUGUGCUAAGUUAUAGCAUUUUAUAGGACAACUUGUUGACUAUGAUUUGUCUUGUAGCUUACUCGCUUAUGUUAUUUUACCUACGCUUAGGAUGUUGAGCGCAUGUCUCUCUCU
Molecule: ribosomal RNA, 777 nt
Filed under: uncultured Neocallimastigales
Lineage: Eukaryota; Fungi; Neocallimastigomycota; Neocallimastigomycetes; Neocallimastigales
Description: partial large subunit ribosomal RNA
Rfam family: Eukaryotic large subunit ribosomal RNA
Source: RNAcentral